AAUAAACGAAUUUCUGAGUUUCUGGAUAAAAUUUUUAACUCUUCGUCUUAUUUAAAUUUUUUUACAAUUAGUAUUUUUAUGUUAUUAUAUGAUAAACCAUGAAAAGUAUUUACAUGUGACUAACUUUUUUUUAAUAUUUUAAUAAAUUUUAAAAUAAGACGUACAGUCGAACGCUUCAUACACAAAACUUAGA
This 193-nucleotide microRNA precursor is filed under the name Oryza brachyantha (malo sina). Its description in RNAcentral is "MIR812 microRNA precursor family". It matches the Rfam family "MIR812 microRNA precursor family". Lineage: Eukaryota; Viridiplantae; Streptophyta; Magnoliopsida; Poales; Poaceae. The record is from Rfam by way of RNAcentral.